Molecule: ribosomal RNA, 465 nt
Filed under: uncultured Klebsiella sp.
Lineage: Bacteria; Pseudomonadati; Pseudomonadota; Gammaproteobacteria; Enterobacterales; Enterobacteriaceae
Description: bacterial SSU rRNA
Rfam family: Bacterial small subunit ribosomal RNA
Source: RNAcentral
ACUACGGGUGGCUGCAGUGGGGAAUAUUGCACAAUGGGCGCAAGCCUGAUGCAGCCAUGCCGCGUGUGUGAAGAAGGCCUUCGGGUUGUAAAGCACUUUCAGCGGGGAGGAAGGCGUUAAGGUUAAUAACCUUGUCGAUUGACGCUACCCGCAGAAGAAGCACCGGCUAACUCCGUGCCAGCAGCCGCGGUAAUACGGAGGGUGCAAGCGUUAAUCGGAAUUACUGGGCGUAAAGCGCACGCAGGCGGUCUGUCAAGUCGGAUGUGAAAUCCCCGGGCUCAACCUGGGAACUGCAUUCGAAACUGGCAGGCUAGAGUCUUGUAGAGGGGGGUAGAAUUCCAGGUGUAGCGGUGAAAUGCGUAGAGAUCUGGAGGAAUACCGGUGGCGAAGGCGGCCCCCUGGACAAAGACUGACGCUCAGGUGCGAAAGCGUGGGGAGCAAACAGGAUUAGAUACCCCUGUAGUC